UCCCUGGUAGCUCAGACGGUAAAGCGUCUGCCUAUAAUGCAGGAGACCUGGGUUCGAUCUCUGGGUCGGGAA
RNAcentral lists this transfer RNA (72 nucleotides) under Ovis aries (sheep). It matches the Rfam family "tRNA". Rfam says of the family: Transfer RNA (tRNA) molecules are approximately 80 nucleotides in length. Their secondary structure includes four short double-helical elements and three loops (D, anti-codon, and T loops). Further hydrogen bonds mediate the characteristic L-shaped molecular structure. tRNAs have two regions of fundamental functional importance: the anti-codon, which is responsible for specific mRNA codon recognition, and the 3' end, to which the tRNAs corresponding amino acid is attached (by aminoacyl-tRNA synthetases). tRNAs cope with the degeneracy of the genetic code in two manners: having more than one tRNA (with a specific anti-codon) for a particular amino acid; and 'wobble' base-pairing, i.e. permitting non-standard base-pairing at the 3rd anti-codon position. The record is from Rfam by way of RNAcentral. Lineage: Eukaryota; Metazoa; Chordata; Mammalia; Artiodactyla; Bovidae.